AAUGAACGCUGGCGGCGUGCUUAACACAUGCAAGUUGGACGAGAAAGGCUGAUUUCGGUUGGCCGAGUAAAGUGGCGCACGGGUGAGUAACGCGUAGGCAACCUACCCUUGUAUUGGGGGAUAACCCCCGCGAAAGCGGGGCUAAUACCGAAUGAGACCCUGUUCUGGAGGGGACAGGGUGAAAGUCGGCCGCUCGGAGAAGCUGACGUACGAGGAUGGGCCUGCGUCCUAUCAGCUAGUUGGUGGGGUAGCGGCCUACCAAGGCGAUGAUGGGUAGGCGGCCUGAGAGGGUG
RNAcentral lists this ribosomal RNA (293 nucleotides) under uncultured bacterium. Its description in RNAcentral is "partial 16S ribosomal RNA". It matches the Rfam family "Bacterial small subunit ribosomal RNA", at positions 29 to 302 of the family's 1533-position model. The record is from RNAcentral.